UUUUAAGUCUUACCUUGUGCCUUGUUCUCAGUAAACUUAUCUUGUCAUCUUAAUUCCUCAGCCUUAGACCUUGCUACCUUGGAUCACCACAGCACCUUGGAUAAAGACUGUCCCUCAUGCCAAGUCGACUGCCUGCCUGCUCGCCCUGCCUGCAAACAAACUCAUUCCACCUCCACCAGCAACCAUCACCUGGCUUACUCCUCCACCGUCAGUCUUCCUCUGGAAUACAGAAGAUCUUCCCGGACCUGGACUAAGCCACUAACAUUUAUUAUAAAUAAACAUUGUUUGCAUCUC
Molecule: long non-coding RNA, 294 nt
Organism: Melanotaenia boesemani (Boeseman's rainbowfish)
Lineage: Eukaryota; Metazoa; Chordata; Actinopteri; Atheriniformes; Melanotaeniidae
Exons: 2
Source: RefSeq, a predicted model, not a curated record